RNAcentral lists this small nuclear RNA (117 nucleotides) under Piloderma croceum F 1598. RNAcentral's name for it is "U5 spliceosomal RNA". It matches the Rfam family "U5 spliceosomal RNA". From Rfam's summary of the family: U5 RNA is a component of both types of known spliceosome. Lineage: Eukaryota; Fungi; Basidiomycota; Agaricomycetes; Atheliales; Atheliaceae. The record is from Rfam by way of RNAcentral.
AGCGGCAGAGGUAUUGACAAGCAGAUUAUUCUCUCGCCUUUUACUAGAGAAUACCGUGUCUGUACCUCAUUGAAAUGUCGCUCUGCCAAUUUUUCAGCACUCAGCUUGUUCUGAGCA